RNAcentral lists this unclassified non-coding RNA (201 nucleotides) under uncultured Entoloma. RNAcentral's name for it is "sequence contains ITS2". Lineage: Eukaryota; Fungi; Basidiomycota; Agaricomycetes; Agaricales; Entolomataceae. The record is from RNAcentral.
AAUUCUCAACCUUUCCAGCUUUGCUUGGAUAGGCUUGGAUUGUGGAAGCUGCUGGUUUCAACAGGAAUCAGCUCUUCUGAAAUGCAUUAGCAAGAUCAUUGCCGAUCAUCUCUGGUAUGAUAAUUAUCUAUACCGCAGAGGACGAGCUCCUGAGAUCGUGCUUCUAACCGUCCCUCUACUGGGACAGCACACCCAUGACCA